This 459-nucleotide ribosomal RNA is filed under the name uncultured bacterium. RNAcentral describes it as "SSU rRNA". It matches the Rfam family "Bacterial small subunit ribosomal RNA", at positions 26 to 518 of the family's 1533-position model. The record is from RNAcentral.
AGAAUCAACGCUGGCGGCGUGCCUAACACAUGCAAGUCGAACGAGAAAGUGGAGCAAUCCAUUAGUAAAGUGGCGCACGGGUGAGUAACACGUGACUAACCUACCCUUGAGUGGGGGAUAACCUAGGGAAACCUGGGCUAAUACCGCAUAAUACCUUCGGGUCAAAGGAGCAAUUCGCUUAAGGAGGGGGUCGCGGCCGAUUAGUUAGUUGGCGGGGUAAUGGCCCACCAAGACGAUGAUCGGUAUCCGGCCUGAAAGGGCGCACGGACACACUGGAACUGAAACACGGUCCAGACUCCUACGGGAGGCAGCAGUGGGGAAUUUUGCGCAAUGGGGGAAACCCUGACGCAGCAACGCCGCGUGGAGGAUGAAGCCCCUUGGGGCGUAAACUCCUUUCGAUCGGGACGAUUAUGACGGUACCGGAAGAAGAAGCCCGGCUAACUUCGUGCCAGCAGCCGC